Molecule: ribosomal RNA, 1095 nt
Filed under: Schizopygopsis stoliczkai bangongensis
Lineage: Eukaryota; Metazoa; Chordata; Actinopteri; Cypriniformes; Cyprinidae
Also listed under: 3 other names
Description: partial 16S ribosomal RNA
Rfam family: Bacterial large subunit ribosomal RNA (bases 182-1091)
Source: RNAcentral
CAGCUAGCUCAAUUACCCAAUAACUAAACAAUAUAAAUAAAACAAAAUAAGCCUAACACCAAAAAUUAAAUCAUUCUUUUACCUUAGUAUGGGCGACAGAAAAGGUUACACCUGGAGCAAUAGAAAAAGUACCGCAAGGGAAAGCUGAAAGAGAAAUGAAAUAACUUAUAUAAGCACCAAAAAGCAAAGAUUAAAUCUUGUACCUUUCGCAUCAUGAUUUAGCCAGUAUAUCCAAGCAAAGAGACCUUUAGUUUGAAACCCCGAAACCAAGUGAGCUACCCCGAGACAGCCUAUUAAGGGCCAACCCGUCUCUGUGGCAAAAGAGUGGGAAGAGCUCCGGGUAGAGGUGACAGACCUACCGAACUUGGUGAUAGCUGGUUGCCUAAGAAGUGAAUAGAAGUUCAGCCUCGUACUCCCUGAAUCAAAAGAUAUAAAAAGAUAUUAGAGGGAAAUAUAUGAGAGUUAGUUAAAGGGGGUACAGCCCCUUUAACAAAGGACACAACCUUUCCAGGAGGAUAAAGAUCAUAAUACAUAAGACAUCCUGUUCUAGUGGGCCUAAAGGCAGCCAUCUAAACAGAAAGCGUUAAAGCUCAGACAGAAAUAAGUUUAUUAUUCCGACAAGAAAUCUUACUCCCCUAAAUAUUAUUAGGCCAGCCCAUGCCCACAUGGGAGAGACUAUGCUAAAAUGAGUAACAAGAAGGCCAGCCCUUCUCCAAGCACAAGUGUAAGCCAAACCGGACCGACCAUUGGCAAUUAACGAACUCAACCCGAGAGAGUAAUGUGUAUUACAACGAAACCAGGAAGAACCCACAAUUAACCCAUCGUUACCCCCACACUGGCGUGCUAUUAAAGGAAAGACUAAAAGAAGGGAAAGGAACUCGGCAAACACAAGCCUCGCCUGUUUACCAAAAACAUCGCCUCCUGCAACACAACCAAGUAUAGGAGGUCCAGCCUGCCCAGUGACUACAAGUUCAACGGCCGCGGUAUUUUGACCGUGCAAAGGUAGCGCAAUCACUUGUCUCUUAAAUGGAGACCUGUAUGAAUGGCUAAACGAGGGCUUAACUGUCUCCCCCCUCCAGUCAGUGAAAUUGAUCU